RNAcentral lists this ribosomal RNA (253 nucleotides) under uncultured bacterium. Its description in RNAcentral is "partial 16S ribosomal RNA". It matches the Rfam family "Bacterial small subunit ribosomal RNA", at positions 524 to 776 of the family's 1533-position model. The record is from RNAcentral.
GACAGAGGUGCCGAGCGUUAGGCGGAAUCACUGGGCUUAAAGCGUGUGUAGGCGGUCCCGUCAGUGUCUUGUGAAAUCCCACGGCUCAACCGUGGAACGGCUGGGCAUACUGCGGGUCUUGAGACACCUAGGGGCGAGCGGAACAGGCGGUGGAGCGGUGAAAUGCGUAGAUAUCACCUGGAACGCCGACGGUGAAAACAGCUCGCUGGGGGUGUUCUGACGCUGAGACACGAAAGCCAGGGGAGCGAACGGG